CCGUGAGGCUGCUCUCGGUCGAAGCACUGAACGGGCAUAUCGUCUAAUGAUUCCCGAGGCCGUCGACAGUAUCAGAAAGCUUGGCACUGGCAGGGCCCAUCCUUUGGCACAGGCUGCACAAUGGCAGCAACAGAGCCAGGCUCAGACACAGACGCAUGUCUCGCAUGGAUUACGCCCUCUGGUCCUGUCUACACUACUAAGAUAUGUGUUUUUUGCAUAUCCCAACUCCCCCUGAGACACCCUUGGAGAGUUGGGUCAGCCAUCAACGGUGACCCUGGAGCGAUUAGUGUCUUGCUCAAUGGCACAUCGACAGAUUUUUCACCUUGUCUGUUCAGGGAUUCAAACUAGCGACCUUUCAGU
Salvelinus sp. IW2-2015 is the source of this 360-nucleotide long non-coding RNA. RefSeq lists it as uncharacterized. NCBI's taxonomy places the organism in Eukaryota, Metazoa, Chordata, Actinopteri, Salmoniformes, Salmonidae. The record is from RefSeq and is a predicted model, not a curated record.